AACAAAGAACUAACGAAGAAAAGAUGACUACACACGGGUAUCGGUCAGGAGGCUGUAAUAAUCUGAUCGACUACACGAAGGGCGCGCCCCCAGUAAUCGACGCCGGAGUGAAGAAAGUACCCCACACGGGUCCUAUACCUGGGGGUAUGUACCCUGGCCGUAUAGUUAGGAUAAAGGGAGGCAUCUGCCCUACAGCAUACAGAUUCUCGAUAAACUUCAAAUGUGGUGGUAGUGACGACACUGCUUUUCAUUUCAACCCUCGCUUCGGACACCAGGUCAUUGUGCGCAACUCUUACAUUAAUGGGUCGUGGGGGAAUGAGGAGUCCAGUGGAGGGAUGCCAAUGGGUGCAGGGGAGAUGUUUGAAACUGUGGUCAAGUGCUUCCAUGAUUGUUUCAAGGUGUCUGUGAACGGGAGACACUUCUGCGACUACUACCAUCGCCUCCCGUACCAUCGGAUCACACAUCUGAACGUGGGCGGCGACCUCAUGAUACAGCAGAUCACCUUUGCGGGACCUGAGCCACCUUCAGAAAUUGCAAACUAUGCUGCUAAAUAUACUGCCGAUUAGUGAUAUAAUACAGGUAGGUACCUACAGAAUAUAAGGUGUUCUAAAAGUAUCUGCCACGGCUUUAAUGGGAGGUAGUGUUGUGUUUGAAGAUUACAACAGUGAAGAAAUUUCGUACCCUGGACCAGUUAAUUCAAUUUGAGAACAUAAAGAAGUUAAAUAAACAUUGACUCUACUCUGUAUAAAGUGGUUCACAAAUACGUACGAUGCGUCAAAGACAGUGAAAGAGAUAGCUCUUUCAUAACAAAUU
RNA transcript from Spodoptera frugiperda (fall armyworm), 813 nucleotides. It is a transcript of the gene named galectin-5-like, with no coding region annotated. The transcript has 7 exons. NCBI's taxonomy places the organism in Eukaryota, Metazoa, Arthropoda, Insecta, Lepidoptera, Noctuidae. The record is from RefSeq and is a predicted model, not a curated record.